GCCAGACUCCUACGGGAGGCAGCAGUGGGGAAUAUUGCACAAUGGGCGAAAGCCUGAUGCAGCAACGCCGCGUGAGUGAUGAAGGCCUUCGGGUCGUAAAACUCUGUCCUCAAGGAAGAUAAUGACGGUACUUGAGGAGGAAGCCCCGGCUAACUACGUGCCAGCAGCCGCGGUAAUACGUAGGUGGCAAGCGUUAUCCGGAUUUACUGGGUGUAAAGGGCGUGUAGGCGGGAAAGCAAGUCAGAUGUGAAAACCAUGGGCUCAACCUGUGGCCUGCAUUUGAAACUGUUUUUCUUGAGUACUGGAGAGGCAGACGGAAUUCCUAGUGUAGCGGUGAAAUGCGUAGAUAUUAGGAGGAACACCAGUGGCGAAGGCGGCUUUCUGGACUGAAACUGACGCUGAGGCACGAAAGCGUGGGGAGCGAACAGGAUUAGAUACCCUAGUAC
RNAcentral lists this ribosomal RNA (446 nucleotides) under uncultured bacterium. RNAcentral describes it as "bacterial SSU rRNA". It matches the Rfam family "Bacterial small subunit ribosomal RNA", at positions 330 to 793 of the family's 1533-position model. The record is from RNAcentral.